This 497-nucleotide ribosomal RNA is filed under the name uncultured bacterium. RNAcentral describes it as "partial 16S ribosomal RNA". It matches the Rfam family "Bacterial small subunit ribosomal RNA", at positions 28 to 507 of the family's 1533-position model. The record is from RNAcentral.
GAUGAACGCUGGCGGCGUGCCUAAUACAUGCAAGUCGAGCGAACGGACGAGAAGCUUGCUUCUCUGAUGUUAGCGGCGGAAGGGUGAGUAAAACGUGGAUAAACUACCUAUAAGACUGGGAUAACCUCGGGAAACCGGAGCUAAUACCGGAUAAUAUUUUGAACCGCAUGGUUCAAAAGUGAAAGACGGUCUUGCUGUCACUUAUAGAUGGAUCCGCGCUGCAUUAGCUAGUUGGUAAGGUAACGGCUUACCAAGGCAACGAUGCAUAGCCGACCUGAGAGGGUGAUCGGCCACACUGGAACUGAGACACGGUCCAGACUCCUACGGGAGGCAGCAGUAGGGAAUCUUCCGCAAUGGGCGAAAGCCUGACGGAGCAACGCCGCGUGAGUGAUGAAGGUCUUCUGAUCGUAAAACUCUGUUAUUAGGGAAGAACAUAUGUGUAAGUAACUGUGCACAUCUUGACGGUACCUAAUCAGAAAGCCACGGCUAACUACGUG